RNAcentral lists this ribosomal RNA (506 nucleotides) under Fusarium tricinctum. Its description in RNAcentral is "eukaryotic LSU rRNA". The stretch from base 140 to 293 matches the Rfam family "5.8S ribosomal RNA". The record is from RNAcentral. Lineage: Eukaryota; Fungi; Ascomycota; Sordariomycetes; Hypocreales; Nectriaceae.
AUCCCAAACCCCUGUGAACAUACCUUAAUGUUGCCUCGGCGGAUCAGCCCGCGCCCCGUAAAACGGGACGGCCCGCCAGAGGACCCAAACUCUAAUGUUUCUUAUUGUAACUUCUGAGUAAAACAAACAAAUAAAUCAAAACUUUCAACAACGGAUCUCUUGGUUCUGGCAUCGAUGAAGAACGCAGCAAAAUGCGAUAAGUAAUGUGAAUUGCAGAAUUCAGUGAAUCAUCGAAUCUUUGAACGCACAUUGCGCCCGCUGGUAUUCCGGCGGGCAUGCCUGUUCGAGCGUCAUUUCAACCCUCAAGCCCCCGGGUUUGGUGUUGGGGAUCGGCUCUGCCUUCUGGCGGUGCCGCCCCCGAAAUACAUUGGCGGUCUCGCUGCAGCCUCCAUUGCGUAGUAGCUAACACCUCGCAACUGGAACGCGGCGCGGCCAUGCCGUAAAACCCCAACUUCUGAAUGUUGACCUCGGAUCAGGUAGGAAUACCCGCUGAACUUAAGCAUAUC